CAAAAUGAGAGUUUGAUCCUGGCUCAGGAUGAACGCUGGCGGCGUGCCUAAUACAUGCAAGUCGAACGCUUUGUGGUCCAACUGAUUUGAAGAGCUUGCUCAGAUAUGACGA
This 112-nucleotide ribosomal RNA is filed under the name Weissella viridescens. RNAcentral's name for it is "partial 16S ribosomal RNA". It matches the Rfam family "Bacterial small subunit ribosomal RNA", at positions 1 to 101 of the family's 1533-position model. The record is from RNAcentral. Lineage: Bacteria; Bacillati; Bacillota; Bacilli; Lactobacillales; Lactobacillaceae.